Molecule: ribosomal RNA, 497 nt
Filed under: uncultured bacterium
Lineage: Bacteria
Description: partial 16S ribosomal RNA
Rfam family: Bacterial small subunit ribosomal RNA
Source: RNAcentral
GACGAACGCUGGCGGCGUGCCUAAUACAUGCAAGUCGAACGCUGAAGAGCUGCUCUUGCUCUUCUUGGAUGAGUUGCGAACGGGUGAGUAACGCGUAGUUUACCUUCCUUGUAGCGGUGGAUAACUAUUGGUAACUCUAACUAAUACCGCAUAACAAUGGUUGACACAUGUCUUUUAUUUUUAUUGGGCAAUUGCUCCACUACAAGCUUGACCUGCGUUGUAUUAGCUAGUAGGUUAGGUAAUGGCUCACCUAGGCGACGAUAGAUAGCCGAACGGAGAGGGGGGUCGGCCACACUGGGACGGAGACAGGGACAAGACUCCUACGGGAGGCAGCAGUAGGGAAUGGGAGGCAACGGGGGCAAACAUGACAGAGCAAGGGCGAGUGAGUGGAGAAGGUUUUGGGAUGGGAAAGAUCGGUUGUAAGUUAAGAACGGGUGUGAGAGGGGAAAAAGCACACUGUGACGGUAGCUUAACAGAAAGGGACGGCUAACUACGUG